AACUUUAUUUUUGUUGAAAGUGCAGUUUUUAAGUCUUGUUAUUGAAAUUAUUUUUGGUUAAAUUGAAAUUUUUUUUGUUGUUUUUGCUGUGUUUUUUAAAUUUUGUUUAACGAAUUAGAUUAGUACCUAAUUAGUCAAAGAUUAUAAGUUUCAGGAGUAAAGUGUUGUUUAAACUGAAAGAAUAUUGGCAGAUUUUCUAAAUUAUCUUUGGAGGUUGAGUGAUAAUUGAGAACCCUCAUUGACUAUUUUUUUUUUUGGCUCAUGUAUGAUCGUUUAUUUUAUGUUUAAGAUGUAAGAGUUUAGUUUUUUGCUGUUAAAAUAGAUAUAUAUUUGGUUUAUAAAUUUAGUUUUAUUUGACCUACAAUAUUUUGUUAUUGUGGAUUAAUAAGUUAGUGUUAUUAUGAAAAUGUAAAAGACAGUAAAUAAAAUUUUAUGUUUUUUUGAAGAUUACUUAGAAAUGGUAC
Molecule: ribosomal RNA, 464 nt
Filed under: Metastrongylus salmi
Lineage: Eukaryota; Metazoa; Nematoda; Chromadorea; Rhabditida; Metastrongylidae
Description: partial small subunit ribosomal RNA
Source: RNAcentral